Molecule: ribosomal RNA, 253 nt
Filed under: uncultured bacterium
Lineage: Bacteria
Description: partial 16S ribosomal RNA
Rfam family: Bacterial small subunit ribosomal RNA
Source: RNAcentral
UACGGAAUGUGCAAACGUUAUUCGGAAUCACUGGGCUUAAAGAGUCCGUAGGCGGCUUGUUAGGUGAGGUGUGAAAUCCCUCAGCUCAACUGAGGAACUGCAUCCGAUACUGUUUGUCUUGAGGACGAGAGGGGAGAGUGGAACUUCUGGUGGAGCGGUGAAAUGCGUAGAUAUCAGAAGGAACGCCGGUGGCGAAAGCGACUCUCUGGCUCGUAUCUGACGCUGAGGCGCGAAAGCUUGGGUAGCAAACGGG